GGGAAGGAUGAGAUCACCAUUACCACCUGCAUGAGUUUCAGGGAUGGCCAGAGAAUGGCCUCCUCAGAUGAACUGGGUCCACCCUCAGGAGCAGAUACAGAAAUGGAGUGGCGAAAAGGCAGAAGUCGGGGGCAGAAGGGAGUGAGGUCAUGAACCAGUGUAUACAAGAGUAUGGACAAUAAAAGAAGCUGUGAACACAGAACCAAAGAUAAAUCUCCAAUUCACUGUACACACCGCCAAGGGUCCUGAUAAUUUAUCAAUGGAAGAGGGAAGAGGGGGCUGGCCUGGUGGCAUACUGGUUAAGUUCAUGUGCACUCUGCUUUGGCAGCCUGGGGUUCACGGGUUUGGAUCCACGCGUGGACCUACACACUGCUCAUCAAGCCAUGCUGCAGCAGCGUCCCACAUACAAAAUAGAGGAAGAUUGGCACAGAUGUUAGCUCAGCGACAAUCUCCCUCACGAAAAAAAAAAAA
This is a long non-coding RNA of Diceros bicornis minor, 471 nucleotides long. RefSeq lists it as uncharacterized. The record is from RefSeq and is a predicted model, not a curated record. NCBI's taxonomy places the organism in Eukaryota, Metazoa, Chordata, Mammalia, Perissodactyla, Rhinocerotidae. The transcript is spliced from 3 exons.